AAGUCUUACAUGCAACGGUCAUAAACCCACCCUCCGUAUUCCCAAAAUUCCCUUUCAUCAUCGACACUUUUUGAUUCCUCUCUUCUCCGGAGGCGAUUUUGCUCUAAAGCUCAUGGCUACUUCUCGUGGAGUGGCCACUUCAAGGGACGUUCAAGCUAUCGUCUCUAAACUGUCGUCGGAUAAAGCCAAGAGUGGUGAACUUUGAUUAAGGUGUAUGUGGUCACAGUCUCUAAGUACCGCACAGCAAAUUCAUAGCUACUGAGGCUUCCAGGGAAGACAAAAAUAUUAAAACUGUAUUUGCAGACAUGGUUUGACAUUCAGACAAUGAAGUUGUUGAUGCUGUUUGGACUCUUGUCCAUAUUAGGUGAAAGUUUUACAUCACAAACCCUUCAGACGAGUUUUGCUAUUCUUUGUUGGCUCAAAUUUGGUGGUUGUGCUAAAUUUUUUAAUGUGGAGUACAUCAUUGAUCUCGGGGACUGUAAUGCUGUUCACAUACACAUUGAUCAAGCCACCUCAAAAAUUGUUCACAAAGAUCUCGGAGUUGACUUUGAUCAAGGAUGAAAGCCCAAAACUCCUUAAUGAUGCCUUCUGCCUUCCUUAAUUCAUGCUUUAAAUAAAUAAUUUUAGUUAAGUUUCUAUUCUAUUCAGCUUUUUCCUGAUUUGACAGGUUCCGUUCAGGUUAACAAGUGACAUAAUUGAUGGCGUGGACGACUUUUUUUAAAUUUCAUAGUAGAUAUGCAGUACAAAAUUUCAGCCGCAUGUCUCUAUCAGCAUACCCGUCAUCAUUUGGCUACCCUUGAAGUGCUUACUUGUAUUUUUGGUUAUAGAGCUUCAGUUCCGAGUUCCUUCAAGUGCACAGAAUCCCAGAUAUUUUUUUUCUUCUGUUUUUUAACUUUGAGCUGAAAAUUUUGAUGAGAUACCUUCUCGACGGAUCCUUAAAGAUCAUAGGUGUUACAUCACAAACUUUUCGGAUUGAUCAAGCCACAACAUAAGUUCUCCACGAAGAUCUCGGAGUUGACUUUGAUCAAGCCACAACAUAAGUUCUCCACAAAUAUAUAAUUGUGAUGAAGGCGUGUUCUGGAGAUGUUGUUAGUCGGUUAUGUGGAAAAAUAAAAAGGUGUUGGUCAUGAUUGUUGAAAUAAAUUGAACUGAACUACUAUCCGGGGCGGAAAGUAAAAAUAUGAAUAGGAUACCGAAUACAUAAAUCAAAAUCCAUCUAAUUGCAGGUUUUUAUACAUGAUCCUCUCUACCAAUGGGCCUUGUCCCUCUUGAAGGCUUUGCAAAGGCAAAAGGUGAAACAAAUGGUGGAAAUCUGAUAAUCUUGUUGAACUUAAAAAAAGGAGAGAGGUCUGAUAAUCUUUAGAAGUAGUUUUUGUUAUCCUUUUUGCGGAGCCCAAAGAACAUUUCUGAAGCAUAGAUUAAACUCUUUCUCUGCAGGAUACCGAUAAAAAGGUGGCUAAUGUUUGUUUCAUUUGUUCUAUUGCUUCCUGUGUACAGAACCUGCAUCUCUUUUUUCCCGGUAAACUGUUGCAUGUGCCAUUCAAAAAUAGUGGACGACAUUCUUGAAGUGUAAAAUUACUUGCUCACUAAUCGACUUUUUGUUUUUUAUUCAUCUCGUUCACUACUUUAUCUCUGUAUUGACAGGAUCAACAAUUUUCCGCAGAUAGGGUGUUCAUGGUACAUAUUUGUUUUUAUUUAGUGUUGAUUUGAUCAGAAAGUUGUUGUGUUGUUUAACAUACUUACUCUCAUAACCCUUUCCUGUAGUUUUACGAUUCAUUGUAGAAGUCCAGUAUAAAACUUCAGCCGCAUUUCGCCAUCGGCAUACCCUUCAUCUUUUGGCUGCACUUGAAGUGCUUACCUGUAUUCUUUGUCAUAGAGCUUCAGUUCCUAUUUCCUUCAACUGCUUAGAAUCCCAGAUAUUUUUCUGUUUUUUUACCUAAUGAGGUCUGUUUGAGAUCUGAUGAUAUUCUUAGUAUUUUCUUUUUCUCCACGUGUUUUUUUUGUCUCAUUAUUGGUGCACGCUGCAUCAACUGGGCCAUCUCUAGCUUUGAAUUUGCUCCACAAGGUUGAUGCAAAUUCGUCUCUUUAUGAUGAUGUCAGAGUAGGUGUUCUACACGCAGAGUUAAAAAUUCUGCCUUAUCAAGAUUUGGAGCCUUUCCUUGGCAUGGACAUUUUUAGAGUCGUGUCGUCCACAAAUUUCUGGUUGGGUUACGCGGAGUCUAUUCUCCAUGGAAUCAUCUGUUCAAGUCUCCAAGCACUGCACAACAAGUUCAUUGCUAUUGAAGUUUCCAGGGACUAUUAAAAAUGCACUUGCAGACUCGGUUUGCGAUUCUGACAAUGAAGCUGUUGAUGCUGUUUGGACUCUUGUCCAUUUGUCUGCGCCAAAUGAAGCAGGCUGUGCAGCUGACCUUCUCGACGAAUCCAUAAAGAUCAUAGAUGUUGCAUCACAAGCCUUCGGGUGGGGUACACCGUUGAUCUUUGGGACUGUCAUGCCAUGAAUAUUUUGAUUGAUCAAGCCUCAACAUAAGUUCUCCACAAAGAUCUCGGAGUUGACAUUGAACAAGGAUUAAA
This is a long non-coding RNA of Tarenaya hassleriana, 2571 nucleotides long. RefSeq lists it as uncharacterized. The record is from RefSeq and is a predicted model, not a curated record. The transcript has 14 exons. Lineage: Eukaryota; Viridiplantae; Streptophyta; Magnoliopsida; Brassicales; Cleomaceae.